This 668-nucleotide long non-coding RNA is filed under the name Helianthus annuus (common sunflower). RNAcentral's name for it is "hypothetical non coding rna". Lineage: Eukaryota; Viridiplantae; Streptophyta; Magnoliopsida; Asterales; Asteraceae. The record is from RNAcentral.
UUAUAUAUUCUUAUGUUCCCAUUAAGGCCGUGGGUCAAUGAGAACAUUGUGCAGUAUGAGCCAUUAGAUGAAAAUGAGAUUAAAUCCUAGCCGUUAUAAUUAGGAAAAACAUUCUAGAAGGAGAGGUUUUUUUUUGGUUAAUUUUGACCAAAGAAGGCCGUUUGCAGCAGUUAAGGGUUUCCUAUCUUCCGGGGAUUCAGUUCGCGUUGGUUUUAGACGACGCUCCCAUGUUGUCCACUUCCCGUAAUUUAGCUGCAGUUGAAGACGGUUUUUGGGUUUGUACAAGAAUGCAGUUGUUAAAAGAGUGGGUAUAAAACUAGAUCGGUAUGAACAACAUCGAAAGUUUUUAGAGUUUUUUCAUCAAAAUCUACAGUAAAAAACGAGGAGAUUCAAACAGGGCUGUGUUGUACUUGGCUGGUAGUAAUACGACGAACUGGUGGUAUGUUCGAUGCCCUUUUCAUCACUGCCGACUUUGGUUUUUCGGUUGCCCCUCAUCCCUCCCGGGUAUAUUGAGCACAGAUUCGUGUAAAAUCCUUUGGAUGCUGUAAUUGAAGGGCGAAAUUGAAGCGUAACAGGUGAUGAGUUUCUGGGUUUAAGUUUUUAUGAACCGGGAAAAGCUUUAUAGUCUGCAAACAGUUUCUGUUCUCGUGAAUUAGAGAAAAUAGGCG